UUAAUCUUAAGUUGAACUGCAUUAUCUGGAUUGGAGCAUGCCCGCACCGGAUCCAAAUUUCCAACUUAUUUAGGUAAUUAACUCAAAGGUUAUCCCAAUUUCCCAAAACAAGACAUGAAAGGCAGUGGAUAAACAAGACAUGAAAUGCAGUGGAUAAUGGUGUUCCCAGAAGAUUGAAAGAAAAAGAGGCAGAAAAGGGCACUUCCUCUGAGUGAAGAAGUCAUUGGACUUCCACAAACAUCAUCAUUCUUCCGCAAGACCGCUCCUUCAUCUGCGUGUCUGGUUUGUCUCUUUUCUGUUUGAUGUAAUGCCCCACCGAGGUGUUAGAAGCAAAGCUCUUUUAAGACAAUUUUUAUUGAAUUUACGCCUGCCAUUUGUGAAUGAGGUUACGUUCAAUAGUAAUGAUAAUGCAUUUCGCUACUUACAAUGGCGAUUGAUGACUACCAGCAAAAGGGUUCAAGAGAGGAGCAAGAGAAAACGUGUCCAUGAUCUUGAGGUGGCUCUGGAAAAGCACAAAGUACUGUCCAAGAUUCUAUUUUUCUUUGAAAUUUUAAAGCAAGAGCCUGAACAAAUCGUGCCCAUUAAAAGUUUAGAUAGGUACAGAAGGCAAAUUAACCUCCCUAAACCCCAUAAACUAUCAGCUUUUCUUCGGAAAUCGCCUAAGCUUUUCGAGCUGUACAAGGAUCAGAGAGGGGUCUUGUGGUGUGGGAUGACGAAAAUGGCUGAGGAAUUAGUGGAGGAAGAGGGAAGAAUUAUUGAGGAGAAUAGCGAUAAGGCUGCUGAAUAUGUUACUAGGAUGUUGAUGAUGUCAGUAGAUAAACGACUUCCAUUGGAGAAGAUUGCACAUUUUAGGAGGGAUAUAGGGUUGCCAGUGGAUUUUAGGAGCCGUUGGGUGCAUAGAUAUCCUGAAAAUUUUAGAGUCGUGCGGCCGUAUAAACCGUAUGAUGAGGGGGAAUAUUUGGAACUUGUUGAGUGGAAGUCUAGUUGGGCAAUAACAGAAUUGGAGAAGAAGUCAGGGAUGGUUGAGGGUUUGAGUGGUGGCGAUCACGUUCCAGGGCUGCUUUCGCUGUCGUUUCCUAUGAAGUUUCCUCCUAAUUAUAAAAAGGUCUUGUCACGAUAUUAUCCACAAAUUGGGAAUUUUCAGAAGAGAGAAUAUUUGUCUCCGUAUGCAGAUGCUAGAGAUCUGAAAGCUGGCUCACAAGAAUUUGAUAAGAGGGCUGUGGCAGUAAUGCAUGAGCUACUGAGUUUUACAACUGAAAAGAGGGUGGUAACUGAUCAUUUGACACACUUUAGAAGAGAAUUUGUGAUGCCUCAAAAGUUGAUGCGAUUGUUGCUGAAGCAUUUUGGUAUCUUUUAUGUUUCGGAGAGGGGGAGGAGGUUUAGUGUCUUUCUCAAUGAGGCCUAUGAAGGUUCAGAAUUGAUAGAAAAGCAUCCCUUGGUUGUUUGGAGGGAAAAAGUCGAUAGACUUAUAGAUUACAGAAAGAAAAAGAAGAGAAUUGGGACUGUUGAAGUUUUACAUGAUAUAGAUGAUAAGGACCUGUUUGAGAGUGAGUCUGAGAAUGACAGUAUCUUGUUGGAUCAUGAACAGGAGGAGACCAUGGGUAAUCUAGAGGAUGCUUCACCUGCGGACAGUUCAGAGAUGGAGAUUGAAGAGAUUUAUGCGGCAUACCAGGACUGAAACUUCACAAGUUUAUAGGAAUUGUUCACUCAGGAACUUUAAGUUUGUUAAAAUGAUGAAAUGACCGUGAAUGGAGAACAGUCAACUGCAUUAUUCAAUGCUACUCUCUUUGCAGAAAACUAUAGCAUAAAAUAACAAGUGCUGUUUUGUGCAUAAAAGUUGCCACUUUGCUUGCCUGCACUUACUAAAGCAUAUGGUGUGGACUAUUUUCUGGUAAUGUUUAUUCUUCUAUCACUCUAGUAGUAAUUGGAGGAGCUUGCAGUGGCAAGGUGUUAUGUAGUCUGUGUAGGAAUGCAUAAAAGUACUGGAAGUGUGCAGACGCUUGCUUUACUGUUCGAAAUGUCUAACUUUUUGACUCAGAGAUAAUUUCUAACCAAGUGACUUGUUAUGUCCAGAUAUAUAUGAACUUUUGUCGAAUUAGGAUGCAUCUAACCCCAAGAAAGACAUCUUCUUUGCAAACAGGAGCUUAUAUUAAGAUACAGUUAUUUGAUAAAUGCUGUUAUGGAUUGGUUUUCUUUAAUUUCUUUUUUCAUCUCCAGGAACAGGUUUUUUUUACAUCAUUAAUCGGAAAUCACUUUGAUGUCACAGAAUGAUUUCUUUGAACAAUUUUAUAUGCUUAAGCUGCCCUUUUGCUUACCCAUGCAAUUUCAACAUUUCCUCCCCUUCCUUGCCCUACACCAAAUUAUUUUGUUAAUUAAGAGAGAGGGAUAUGAAUAUUCUAUCUCAUCUGUUACUCUUUUCUUAUCUGACUUGGAAAGCAUGAGCACCCAAAAGUAUCUACCCUUGGACCUGAUUGUCACGAGUCAUUCAUCUGUUCCACUUUCUUGUCGUGUGAUUGCAAUAGAUUCUGCUGCCUGUUUUCCUGGAUUUCCAAAUGGGUGUGUGCUGGCAGAGGAGUUGUGUGUGCGAUAGUUUCUCCAGGAUAUAUACUCACGUGGAGUAUAGUCUUGUUUUUGUAUCUCUGUAAUAGUACUAAACGGUGAAAUUUCCAGGGUAAAGUGCUGAAUCCACGAGAGGAGACUAUAUGGUGCAGGGUAUGAGGCGCACAGGACUUCAAAAGGCAAUUUUGUUGCAAGUUGCCGACUCAGGCUGCGAAAUUACUCACCUCAGCUUUAAUAUGUUACCAUUUAGCUCCGUCCUUGGGUCUUAAUUGGCCUCCAGCUUUUGUCACUUUUAGCACAGAAGUCCGUAGGGAAGAGAAUCUCGGCAGUUUUGGUUGGUGUCCAGGAGUCCAAACUAGAAGUACACAUUGCAAAUCCUCAAAACAAUCCCCCCCCCCCCCCCCCCCAAGAAACCCCCAACCCGCACGCGCACACAUACACACACAACCACCACAAAAACCGUAGACGAAGAAAUAGAUGGCGCAGUGUUUUCAAUUUCUGGCUCUGGAGAGUGUGUGGGUUGCAUAGAGAUUUAUUAUUUUGCUUGUCAUUAAUGGCUUUGACCUUGAGAGUAGACGUCAACGGAGUGGGGAUUCAACCGAAUCGACUCAAGGCCUCCAUAUUUUCUUGGGCCUUGUUCUGUGUGUAUUAAUUCUUUUAAGUAACCUAUUAAUCCUAUGAAUCACAACAAUAUCGUAGUAGGAGGAUGACGCACACUUUGUAUUGGUUAAAGCAACUCGGUGAGUUUGGGUCCG
Coffea arabica (coffee) is the source of this 3314-nucleotide non-coding RNA. The record is from RefSeq and is a predicted model, not a curated record. Lineage: Eukaryota; Viridiplantae; Streptophyta; Magnoliopsida; Gentianales; Rubiaceae.